Molecule: microRNA precursor, 125 nt
Organism: Equus caballus (horse)
Lineage: Eukaryota; Metazoa; Chordata; Mammalia; Perissodactyla; Equidae
Source: Ensembl
GCUUUACAGACUGCAGCGGCCAGGGGAGGCUGAGGACCCGUGGCCUGAUCGCGGUUUGCGCCGUUAGCCUGAACAGCAGCCGGUACUUUAGCAGCCGCCAAACUUCCAUUCUGGCCUGCCGUUAA